CGCCCACUGAAUGUACUGAAUGGGCCCUGGCAUAGCUUUGCGCUGGGAUUUGGGCUCAGGAAAGCCCCCGGGCCGUGAUCUGCAGAGAUGCAGUCUCGAAGAUUUUGAGAACCGGAGUUCUAGGCUGAGACGCAUGCGGAGCCUCCGUAGACUCUGGCCCGAAGUUGCAUUGGCCGACCGUCAGAGUCAUUCACUAGGCCCUUACAUCAUCGUAUGGGCAAACCGAACGGGGCUUACACUUCAGUGGUC
This 249-nucleotide RNase MRP RNA is filed under the name Eucalyptus grandis. Its description in RNAcentral is "RNase MRP". It matches the Rfam family "RNase MRP". From Rfam's summary of the family: RNase MRP is an enzymatically active ribonucleoprotein with two distinct roles in eukaryotes. In mitochondria it plays a direct role in the initiation of mitochondrial DNA replication. The record is from Rfam by way of RNAcentral. Lineage: Eukaryota; Viridiplantae; Streptophyta; Magnoliopsida; Myrtales; Myrtaceae.